This 484-nucleotide ribosomal RNA is filed under the name uncultured bacterium. RNAcentral's name for it is "partial 16S ribosomal RNA". It matches the Rfam family "Bacterial small subunit ribosomal RNA", at positions 30 to 507 of the family's 1533-position model. The record is from RNAcentral.
AUUGAACGCUGGCGGCAGGCCUAACACAUGCAAGUCGAGCGGAUGAAGGGAGCUUGCUCCUGGAUUCAGCGGCGGACGGGUGAGUAAUGCCUAGGAAUCUGCCUGGUAGUGGGGGAUAACGUCCGGAAACGGGCGCUCAUACCGCAUACGUCCUGAGGGAGAAAGUGGGGGUUCUUCGGACCUCACGCUAUCAGAUGAGCCUAGGCCGGAUUAGCUAGUUGGUGGGGUAAAGGCCUACCAAGGCGACGAUCCGUAACUGGUCUGAGAGGAUGAUCAGUCACACUGGAACUGAGACACGGUCCAGACUCCUACGGGAGGCAGCAGUGGGGAAUGUGGGACAAUGGGCGAAAGUCUGAUCCAGCCAUGCCGCGUGUGUGAAGAAGGUCUUCGGAUUGUAAAGCACUUUAAGUUGGGAGGAAGGGCAGUAAGUUAAUACCUUGCUGUUUUGACGUUACCAACAGAAUAAGCACCGGCUAACUUCGUG